GUCGAACGAAGUAGCAAUACUUAGUGGCAGACGGGUGAGUAACAUGUAGGUAUCUACCCUAUGGCCUGGAAUAACACGAGGAAACUUGUGCUAAUACCGGAUAAGUCUUUACAGAGAAAGCUUUAUGCACCAUUGGAUGAGCCUGCACUUGAUUAGUUUGUUGGUAGGGUAACGGCCUACCAAGACUUUGAUCAAUAGCUGAUUUGAGAGGAUGAUCAGCCACAUUGGGACUGAGACACGGCCCAAACUCCUACGGGAGGCAGCAGUGGGGAAUCUUGCACAAUGGAGGAAACUCUGAUGCAGCGAUGCCGCGUGAGUGAAGAAGGCCCUUGGGUUGUAAAGCUCUUUCGUCGGGGAAGAAAAUGACUGUACCCGAAUAAGAAGGUCCGGCUAACUUCGUGCCAGCAGCCGCGGUAAUAUGAAGGGACCUAGCGUAGUUCGGAAUUACUGGGCUUAAAGAGUUCGUAGGUGGUCGAAAAAGUUGGUGGUGAAAUCCCAGAGCUUAACUCUGGAACUGCCAUCAAAACUUUUCAGCUAGAGUAUGAUAGAGGAAAGCAGAAUUUCUAGUGUAGAGGUGAAAUUCGUAGAUAUUAGAAAGAAUACCAAUUGCGAAGGCAGCUUUCUGGAUCAUUACUGACACUGAGGAACGAAAGCAUGGGUAGCGAAGAGGAUUAGAUACCCUCGUAGUCCAUGCCGUAAACGAUGUGUGUUAGACGUUGGAAAUUUAUUUUCAGUGUCGCAGUGAAAGCGAUAAACACACCGCCUGGGGAGUACGACCGCAAGGUUAAAACUCAAAUGAAUUGACGGGGACCCGCACAAGUAGU
This 824-nucleotide ribosomal RNA is filed under the name uncultured marine bacterium. Its description in RNAcentral is "bacterial SSU rRNA". It matches the Rfam family "Bacterial small subunit ribosomal RNA", at positions 61 to 933 of the family's 1533-position model. The record is from RNAcentral.